ACAGGAACUGCAGCCACUCUUUGCCUCAGUGACUUGUCCACCCAGGAAACUACUAAUGGUGCAGUUCUGUUCUAUGAGCUGCUCCUGCCCUUUGAGGUCACUCCCUGCAGGAAAGUGGCUGCACUUCAUUUGGAACAACACUUUAGGUGGGAGAAGAGUAAGAUGAUAGUUGACCUUCCUUUGACCCUGGUGUGCAAUGGGAUGCAGUCAGCAGUGUCUGUACCUUAAGGCUGGGUGAGGAAGGGCAAUGAACAACGCUCAGCAUCCUUCCCUGUGGUCUGGGAAAUCCUCUUCCAACACAAUUGCACUGUGGCAAUUAUCAGAGACAGUUGCCACAGCCCUCACUGUCAAGUUGCUUUUCAGAAUGAAAAUGAUGGUUGGGGAGCUUGGAUACGAUGAUAAAGAUGACUCCCAUCUGAAGUAG
Molecule: long non-coding RNA, 424 nt
Filed under: Parus major (Great Tit)
Lineage: Eukaryota; Metazoa; Chordata; Aves; Passeriformes; Paridae
Description: lncRNA (ENSPMJG00000016444.1)
Source: RNAcentral